CCUAGGGGUGCUGCAGUAGGGAAUCUUCCACAAUGGGCGAAAGCCUGAUGGAGCAACGCCGCGUGGGUGAAGAAGGUCUUCGGAUCGUAAAACCCUGUUGUUAGAGAAGAAAGUGCGUGAGAGUAACUGUUCACGUUUCGACGGUAUCUAACCAGAAAGCCACGGCGAACUACGUUCCAGCAGCCGCGGUAAUACGUAGGUGGCAAGCGUUAUCCGGAUUUAUUGGGCGUAAAGGGAACGCAGGCGGUCUUUUAAGUCGGAGGUGAAAGCCUUCGGCUUAACCGGAGUAGUGCAUUGGAAACUGGGAGACUUGAGUGCAGAAGAGGAGAGUGGAACUCCAGGUGUAGGGGUGAAAUGCGUAGAUAUAUGGAAGAACACCAGUGGCGAAAGCGGCUCUCUGGUCUGUAACUGACGCUGAGGUUCGAAAGCGUGGGUAGCAAACAGGAUUAGAUACCCUGGUAGUC
Molecule: ribosomal RNA, 464 nt
Filed under: uncultured bacterium
Lineage: Bacteria
Description: partial 16S ribosomal RNA
Rfam family: Bacterial small subunit ribosomal RNA
Source: RNAcentral